RNAcentral lists this long non-coding RNA (1706 nucleotides) under Patiria miniata (bat star). Its description in RNAcentral is "uncharacterized LOC119724252". Lineage: Eukaryota; Metazoa; Echinodermata; Asteroidea; Valvatida; Asterinidae. The record is from RNAcentral.
UGGUGACACUGUUGCAUAUGUAAAUCAGGUGCAAUGACACCUGUUGCAUAUGUAAAUCAGGUGCAAUGACACCUGUUGCAUAUGUAAAGCAGGUGUAAUGACACCUGUUACAUCUAACACACCUUGUAAUCGCUUUGUAAAGUGUAGCCUGAAUCUACAGAGUGAAACAAUAGGCAUCCAUUUAUUUGUGUUUACACCCACAACACCAGUGGAGGUUUUGAUGGAUAGUACUUUCCAAUUCUGAUAAGUCCGAUCGCAGCAGGUCGGCAAUAUUGCUUCCCUUAAAACAGGUGCGCGUUGCUUUCUGCAAAUUGGAAUUAUCAUCUUCGCGACCAGUAGGUCUCAACCCUCAAAAUAAUGAUCUAUGAAAGUAAGUUUUCUUUCUCUACGGUUGAAUCCAUUAGAGUGGUCAGGUAAGGGCCACUCAUUGGAUUAUCUUCAUCUUGUAUGCAAGAUGCUUUGCAGCAUGUUAGGCCAAGAGACUAAAACUAAGUUUUCAUUUUGUCUGAUUGUAUCAUUAUAGCAGUGGUAGGACCAUAAUCCAUUACAGUGGUCAGGUGAGGGCCACUAAUUGGAUUAUCUUUAUCAUCUGUACUUUGCAGCCAGUUAGGCCUACUGUAUAUACCUUAACUAAGUUUCUUUUUCUAUGAUUGUGUCAUUGAUUGUAUCAUUGUAUCAUUGAUUGUAUCAUAGAUAGUGGUCAGGUAAGGACCAUUAAUAUACGAUUUCUUUCUCUUUAUACCACAACACCGGUCACAAAUUUGACAAAGAAACCACUGUCCAGUGUACUAACAAAUCUAGCUCCGCUAGGAAGAUUCUUUUAUUUUCAGCAACUUGCAGUUAGAUUAGGAGGACCAGCAUGCAAACCAGAGUGCUCAUAUCAGGAACCGGAAGCAGGGAGGAGGAACAACGGAUGACUGACGAAGACCCUGCUUAUCGGGCAACCCAUUACUGAUUUCUCUGAGAUGACGGUCUGCAAGAUGAGAUGUCAUUCUGGACGAAGAUACGAUCACCAAUCCCAAGGAACCAGAAGGGAGGAGGACCGACGGAAGGACUGAUGACCUGCUUGCAGAGCAAGUCUUCACCAAUUCUUGAGAUUCCUCUUGGUUCGUGUUAGCAGCAUAGACGAUGAUGCAGUUCGCCAGGACACGAACACGAAUUUGAGCAACACUCGACUGAGUUUUACAACGGCCACCUCCUGAAACUUCCCAUACGUUUCUCUUAAAAAGCCGUAAAAUGAACAGCAUCUUUCUGAAACAUCGCGGCAAUAGUGCCCUUUGUUGUCAAGAAAAGCACGGACAAUUUUAAAUAAAAACUACUUGGCAUCCGUUGUUGGUUAAUUUCAUUAAAAGUGUCAUUUUUGGUAAAACAGAAUUAGUGAAUUUUUUUAAAGCAGUUUGUGCACACUUUUUUUUAAGCCGAAUUAUAAUAUUAGCGUUUGAGUACUGUAGUACUGUAUGGGGAGACGACGAGAAUUAUCAACAAAUGUUUUAAAAGAGUCGCAUGGAUGAUCCUGAAAAUGUACAUCAUCCUCCACUUCUUCAGCGGAUACGUUUCCCUAGACUAAACUGGGUAACAUUUUCCGAAAGAGUUAAGUCUAAAAAGGCUGGGGAGUUUUGCUUUCAAAAUCCUGAACAAAAUUACUGCUUUGUAAUUAUAACAACCUUUUCACACCACAGUUUUUUUUGCGUGAAAUAUGACCACAA